UCCUCCUCCUCCUCCUCUACGAAAAGCCUUGUUUUGGGAUUCGGAUUCAUGAUUGCUAUGAUGCUUCAUUUGUUCUAAGUGUUUAACUAGUAGAGAUAAAUUUGUUCUUUUACUUUUUUUUGUUCUAAGUGUUUAACUAGUAGAGAUAAAUUUGUUCUUUUACUUUUUUUUGUUUGAUUGUUGUAUAUGUUGCUUUUGUUUUGUGGUUUCGUAUGUGUAUUUCAGAAUUUACCAUUGUAUAUCGGACCAUAUAUAUCCUACUAUUUAUUGUAUAUUAUAUUAUUAUUUU
RNAcentral lists this long non-coding RNA (289 nucleotides) under Brassica napus (rape). RNAcentral's name for it is "long non-coding RNA (BNAP_LNC016445)". Lineage: Eukaryota; Viridiplantae; Streptophyta; Magnoliopsida; Brassicales; Brassicaceae. The record is from RNAcentral.